Molecule: ribosomal RNA, 478 nt
Filed under: uncultured bacterium
Lineage: Bacteria
Description: partial 16S ribosomal RNA
Rfam family: Bacterial small subunit ribosomal RNA
Source: RNAcentral
GAUGAACGCUGGCGGCGUGCUUAACACAUGCAAGUCGAACGGGAAACCUUUUAUUGUAUCUUCUGCAGGUUUAGCUGGUUUCUAGUGGCGGACGGGUUAGUAACGCGUGGGUAACCUGCCUUAUACAGGGGGAUAACAACCAGAAAUGAUUGCUAAUACCGCAUAAGGGCACGGGACCGCAUGUUCCGGUGUGAAAAACUCCGGUGGUAUAAGAUGGACCCGCGUUGGCUUUGCUAGUUGGCAGGGUAACGGCCGGCCAAGGCGACGAUCCAUAGCUGGCAGGAGAGGGGGCACGGCCACAAUGGGACUGAGACACGGACCAGACUCCUACGGGAGGGAGGAGAGGGGAAUAUUGCACAAGGGGGGCAAAUCUGAUGCCGCGACGCCGCGGGAAGGAAGAAGUAUCUCGGUAUGUAAAUUUGUAUGAGCAGGGGCGAUAGUGACGGUACCUGACUAAGAAGCCCCGGCUAACUACGUG